Transfer RNA from Sus scrofa (pig), 72 nucleotides. It matches the Rfam family "tRNA". Rfam says of the family: Transfer RNA (tRNA) molecules are approximately 80 nucleotides in length. Their secondary structure includes four short double-helical elements and three loops (D, anti-codon, and T loops). Lineage: Eukaryota; Metazoa; Chordata; Mammalia; Artiodactyla; Suidae. The record is from Rfam.
UCCCUGGUAGUCUAGUGGUUAGGACUCAGCACUUUCACGGCUGCAGCCCAGGUUCAGUCCCUGGUCUGGGAA